UUGACACAAAUACAGUCUUUUUGCAAGGAAAGUGAAGGUGUCCCCACCUUGAGUGUUAUAUUUAAUGUGACAUAGUUUUAUAAUUCAUUGGUCCCAGAAAAUGUGUUCAAGCAGAAACAAUUUGGUCCCAGAAAAUGUGUUCAAGCAGAUACAAUCUGGUCCCAGAAAAUGUGUUCAAGCAGAAACAAUUUGGUCCCAGUAAAUGUGUUCAAG
Haliotis rubra (blacklip abalone) is the source of this 213-nucleotide long non-coding RNA. RefSeq lists it as uncharacterized. The record is from RefSeq and is a predicted model, not a curated record. The transcript has 2 exons. NCBI's taxonomy places the organism in Eukaryota, Metazoa, Mollusca, Gastropoda, Lepetellida, Haliotidae.